This 279-nucleotide unclassified non-coding RNA is filed under the name fungal sp. RNAcentral's name for it is "partial internal transcribed spacer region". The stretch from base 1 to 46 matches the Rfam family "Eukaryotic small subunit ribosomal RNA", at positions 1786 to 1831 of the family's 1831-position model. The record is from RNAcentral. Lineage: Eukaryota; Fungi.
AAGUCGUAACAAGGUUUCCGUAGGUGAACCUGCGGAAGGAUCAUUAACAAAUUUUAUUUAAAAAGAAAAACAACCGUGCAAAGAGAUUGAGGAUGGGAGGGGUGGUAUGGGAAUGGUGAGUGAGAGGGAUGCUUUUUUUGUAAAAGAAAAAAGUCUUGCUUGUUCGCUAAAAUCUACACCUAUUCAUUCUUCUAUUCUAUAAAAAAACCUUUAAAAAUGUAGUCAAUUUUAUACAUAAUAAUAUAUAUAUAACUUUUAACAAUGGAUCUCUAGGCUCUC